Long non-coding RNA from Oreochromis niloticus (Nile tilapia), 1371 nucleotides. RefSeq lists it as uncharacterized. NCBI's taxonomy places the organism in Eukaryota, Metazoa, Chordata, Actinopteri, Cichliformes, Cichlidae. The record is from RefSeq and is a predicted model, not a curated record. The transcript is spliced from 2 exons.
CUAUUGAAAAUAUCACGUUAUGCUAUAGGCUACAUGCCGUUAGGCAGAGGGCUCUUUUGAGCCCAUUUUUCGUUACAAAUUUUAGGAUGAUCUCACGGAAAUCUGUGAAUAAAUACAAAGUUUUCAAACUGAAGUCAGUGACGGGAAGACAUCACACUUUUUAGAGAUGGAACUGCAGAAAAACCUAAAACCUUGACAUGAUUAUGAAUAAUAGAAUUAUGGACGUUUCUCCGUUUUUGUGGAUUAGCCUUUCCAUAACUAACGUCAACUACUGUCCUACUUUGGUAAGAUUGAAAUUAAUGUCUUUGACUGUCUUUAGUAGGUGUCUCCUGUGAGAAAGUUAGAACACCGUCCAACUGUCUAAAGAUGCAGUCUUUAGCCUAACUGGUUGUUACUGACUCAGCGAUGCUCGCAGACAUUUACGCACUGUGUUGUGACCUGAUUGUGACAGAACAGUGACGUUGUUAUUGGUAGUUUGAAGGGUACGGUGUUGGGGGUGGUGCAUGUUAAAAGUUUUGAGAAGCACUGGUUAGACAUGUUAAUUUUUUUUGGUGUAACAUAUUGGCAACAUUAACACAUUAAUUUGCUAAAGGAAAAAUAGGCAGUUCCCAAUUGCCUGUGAAAACGACCAUUCUGCCCUGUUCUUGUAAUGACCACAGUCAGUCUUAUUCGUUCUCAUACAUUUUGGUCUAUUUAUUUACUAAUUUCAGCAAGCAUAAUGCCUAGGAAAGAGAGGCUGAGAAAGGAGAAAGAAAGGGAUCUACAACAGGCAGCCCAGGGAAGCAGUUCUCUGCUCUCCUGGAUGAAAGCAAAGGAAAAUGAAGAUGAAAGUCAGUCACAGCAGGGAAGCAGCUCUAUGCCAUCUACCAGCAUAGCAGAAGAGGGAGAUAUAGAAACAGAUGAAGCCGCGACCAAUGCAGCAGCAGGUUCAGUUAGGCCUACAGACACUGAUGUAGUGCUCUCUGAAGACCACAAUGAGGAAGAACAGAUCGAUCACAUAAUGUCAAAGUUAGCAGCUUUACAAUACCCAACAGAUCCAACACACAUCCAUACAUUUAAAAUAAAGCGCAAUGACAGAUACGUUUCAAUGUGCUGCAAUGUGGGCCCAUGUCAGCCUGAUAUACCUUACCCAAAAACUGAGGGGAGAUCAUUCCAGAAACAGUGGUUUUCUGCUAAUGUGUGGCUGGAAUACUCACCCACUGCUAAUUCAAUGCAUUGUUUUAGUUGUCGGCUUUUCCUCUCGGAUGAAAAAUAUAAAAGCAGAACAGCCUGGACAACUGAUGGCAUCAGAAAGUGGAGUACUGCUCUUGAAAAAAUCAAACAACACUCCAGCGCAGAGAUGCACAUGACAAGCAUGGUUAGAUGGAUCAA